UGGGGAAUAUUGCACAAUGGGGGAAACCCUGAUGCAGCGACGCCGCGUGGAGGAAGAAGGUCUUCGGAUUGUAAACUCCUGUCCCAGGGGACGAUAAUGACGGUACCCUGGGAGGAAGCACCGGCUAACUACGUGCCAGCAGCCGCGGUAAAACGUAGGGUGCAAGCGUUGUCCGGAAUUACUGGGUGUAAAGGGAGCGCAGGCGGAUUGGCAAGUUGGGAGUGAAAUCUAUGGGCUCAACCCAUAAAUUGCUUUCAAAACUGUCAGUCUUGAGUGGUGUAGAGGUAGGCGGAAUUCCCGGUGUAGCGGUGGAAUGCGUAGAUAUCGGGAGGAACACCAGUGGCGAAGGCGGCCUACUGGGCACUAACUGACGCUGAGGCUCGAAAGCAUGGGUAGCAAACAGGAUUAGAUACCCUGGUAGUCCAUGCCGUAAACGAUGAUUACUAGGUGUGGGAGGAUUGACCCCUUCCGUGCCGCAGUUAACACAAUAAGUAAUCCACCUGGGGAGUACGACCGCAAGGUUGAAACUCAAAGGAAUUGACGGGGGCCCGCACAAGCAGUGGAGUAUGUGGUUUAAUUCGAAGCAACGCGAAGAACCUUACCAGGUCUUGACAUCGGAUGCAUACCUAAGAGAUUAGGGAAGUCCUUCGGGACAUCCAGACAGGUGGUGCAUGGUUGUCGUCAGCUCGUGUCGUGAGAUGUUGGGUUAAGUCCCGCAACGAGCGCAACCCUUAUCGUUAGUUACUACGCAAGAGGACUCUAGCGAGACUGCCGUUGACAAAACGGAGGAAGGUGGGGAUGACGUCAAAUCAUCAUGCCCUUUAUGACCUGGGCUACACACGUACUACAAUGGCUAUUAACAGAGAGAAGCGAUACCGCGAGGUGGAGCAAACCUCACAAAAAUAGUCUCAGUUCGGAUCGCAGGCUGCAACCCGCCUGCGUGAAGCCGGAAUUGCUAGUAAUCGCGGAUCAGCAUGCCGCGGUGAAUACGUUCCC
Molecule: ribosomal RNA, 996 nt
Filed under: uncultured bacterium
Lineage: Bacteria
Also listed under: 1 other name
Description: bacterial SSU rRNA
Rfam family: Bacterial small subunit ribosomal RNA
Source: RNAcentral